RNAcentral lists this ribosomal RNA (208 nucleotides) under uncultured bacterium. Its description in RNAcentral is "partial 16S ribosomal RNA". It matches the Rfam family "Bacterial small subunit ribosomal RNA", at positions 567 to 774 of the family's 1533-position model. The record is from RNAcentral.
GUGCGUAGGCGGGUCUUUAAGUCAGGGGUGAAAUCCUGGAGCUCAACUCCAGAACUGCCUUUGAUACUGAAGAUCCUGAGUUCGGGAGAGGUGAGUGGAACUGCGAGUGUAGAGGUGAAAUUCGUAGAUAUUCGCAAGAACACCAGUGGCGAAGGCGGCUCACUGGCCCGAUACUGACGCUGAGGCACGAAAGCGUGGGGAGCAAACA